UUUCCGUAGGUGAACCUGCGGAAGGAUCAUUCAUAAUAAAGUGUUUUAUGGCACUUUUUAAAAAUCCAUAUCCACCUUGUGUGCAAUGUUAGAUCUCGUCAAUCUUGGCGAGAUUUUUAUACAUCAACUCAUUCUUUAACUAAUUUGUCUGAAAAAUAUUAUGAAUACUUAAUUCAAAAUACAACUUUCAACAAUGGAUCUCUUGGCUCUCGCAUCGAUGAAGAACACAGC
RNAcentral lists this unclassified non-coding RNA (231 nucleotides) under plant metagenome. Its description in RNAcentral is "partial contains small subunit ribosomal RNA, internal transcribed spacer 1, and 5.8S ribosomal RNA". The stretch from base 183 to 231 matches the Rfam family "5.8S ribosomal RNA", at positions 1 to 49 of the family's 154-position model. The record is from RNAcentral.